UGGGGAUUCGUCUAAGGGUAGGACAGCAGACUCUGGAUCUGUAUGUGGGGGUUCGAAUCCUCCAUCCCCAGCCA
Molecule: transfer RNA, 74 nt
Filed under: Thermoflexus hugenholtzii
Lineage: Bacteria; Bacillati; Chloroflexota; Thermoflexia; Thermoflexales; Thermoflexaceae
Also listed under: 6 other names
Description: tRNA-Gln
Rfam family: tRNA
About the family: Transfer RNA (tRNA) molecules are approximately 80 nucleotides in length.
Source: RNAcentral